GAGGGGACGGGUCACGGUGACGUCGCACGAGACACUGUGACAUCACGACGGAGGGGACACGUCAUAGUGACAUCACACGAGGACACCAUGACAUCACAACGGAGAGGACACAUCAUAGUGACGUCACGUGAGACGCCGUGACAUCACGAUGGAGAGGACACGUCACAGUGACAUCACACGGGGACACCGUGACAUCACGACGGAGGGGCACAUGGUGACGUGACAUCACAACGGAGGGGAUGCCCCACAGUGACGUCACACGGGGACGCUGUGACAUCACGACGGAGGGAACACGUCACAGUGACAUCACGUGAGACACCGUGACAUCACGACAGAGGGGACGUACCACAGUGACAUCACACGAGGACACGGUGACAUCACAACGGAGGGGACAAGUCACGGUGAUGUCACGCGAGGACACCAUGACAUCACGACGGAGGGGCACAUGGUGACGUGACAUCACGACAGAGGGGACACCCCACAGUGAUGUCACAGGGGGACGCCGUGACAUCACGAUGGAGGGGACAUGUCACACUGACAUCACACGGUGACACCGUGACAUCACGACAGAGGGGCACAUGGUGACGUGACAUCACGACGGAGGGGACGUGUCACAGUGACAUCACACGGUGACACCGUGACAUCACGACAGAGGGGCACAUGGUGACAUGACAUCACGACGGAGGGGACGUGUCACAGUGACAUCACACGGUGACACCGUGACAUCACGACGGAGGGGACGCCCCGCAGUGACAUCACACGAGGACACCGUGACAUCACAAUGGAGGGGAUGCCCCACACUGACGUCACACGAGGACACCGUGACAUCACGAUGGAGGGGACGCAUCACAGUGACAUCACAUGGACGUGCCAUAACACCAGGAUGGAGAGGACACGUCACAGUGACGUCACAAGGGGACACCGUGACAUCACGAUGGAGGGGACGGGUCACGGUGACGUCGCACGAGACACUGUGACAUCACGACGGAGGGGACACGUCAUAGUGACAUCACACGAGGACACCAUGACAUCACAACGGAGAGGACACAUCAUAGUGACGUCACGUGAGACGCCGUGACAUCACGAUGGAGAGGACACGUCACAGUGACAUCACACGGGGACACCGUGACAUCACGACGGAGGGGCACAUGGUGACGUGACAUCACAACGGAGGGGAUGCCCCACAGUGACGUCACANNNNNNNNNNGGGGCUGGGGGUCCCCGUCACUGUCUCCGUGGGGCUGGGGGUCCUCAUCCCCCCCCUCGGUGUCUCUGUGGGGCUGGGGGUCCUCGCUCCCCCCCUCGCUGUCUCCAUGGGACUGGGGGUCCCUCUUGGUGUCUCCGUGGGGCUGGGGGUCCUCGUCCCCCCCUCGCUGUUGUUAUGGGUCUAGGGGUCCUCCUCGGUGUCUCCGUGGGGCUGAGGGUCCCCCUUGCUUUCUCCAUGGGGCUGGGGGUCCCUCUUGGUGUCUCAGUGGGGCUG
RNAcentral lists this long non-coding RNA (1480 nucleotides) under Calidris pugnax (ruff). RNAcentral's name for it is "lncRNA (ENSCPUG00000000556.1)". The record is from RNAcentral. Lineage: Eukaryota; Metazoa; Chordata; Aves; Charadriiformes; Scolopacidae.